GACGAACGCUGGCGGCGUGCCUAAUACAUGCAAGUCGAGCGGACCGGAUUGGGGCUUGCCUUGAUUCGGUCAGCGGCGGACGGGUGAGUAACACGUGGGCAACCUGCCCGCAAGACCGGGAUAACUCCGGGAAACCGGAGCUAAUACCGGAUAACACCGAAGACCGCAUGGUCUUCGGUUGAAAGGCGGCCUUUGGGCUGUCACUUGCGGAUGGGCCCGCGGCGCAUUAGCUAGUUGGUGAGGUAACGGCUCACCAAGGCGACGAUGCGUAGCCGGCCUGAGAGGGUGACCGGCCACACUGGGACUGAGACACGGCCCAGACUCCUACGGGAGGCAGCAGUAGGGAAUCUUCCGCAAUAGGCGAAAGCCUGACGGAGCGACGCCGCGUGAGCGAAGAAGGCCUUCGGGUCGUAAAGCUCUGUUGUGAGGGACGAAGGAGCGUCGUUCGAAGAGGGCGGCGCGGUGACGGUACCUCACGAGAAAGCCCCGGCUAACUACGUG
RNAcentral lists this ribosomal RNA (501 nucleotides) under uncultured bacterium. Its description in RNAcentral is "partial 16S ribosomal RNA". It matches the Rfam family "Bacterial small subunit ribosomal RNA", at positions 28 to 507 of the family's 1533-position model. The record is from RNAcentral.